This 255-nucleotide ribosomal RNA is filed under the name uncultured bacterium. RNAcentral's name for it is "partial 16S ribosomal RNA". It matches the Rfam family "Bacterial small subunit ribosomal RNA", at positions 524 to 776 of the family's 1533-position model. The record is from RNAcentral.
UACGUAGGGGGCAAGCGUUGUCCGGAUUCAUUGGGCGUAAAGAGCUCGUAGGCGGUUCGGCAAGUCGGGUGUGAAAACUCCAGGCUCAACCUGGAGACGCCACCCGAUACUGCUGUGACUUGAGUCCGGUAGGGGACCACGGAAUUCCUGGUGUAGCGGUGAAAUGCGCAGAUAUCAGGAGGAACACCGGUGGCGAAGGCGGUUCUCUGGGCAUGUCCUGACGCUGAGGAGCGAAAGUGUGGGGGAGCGAACAGG